Long non-coding RNA from Ictalurus punctatus (channel catfish), 1302 nucleotides. RefSeq lists it as uncharacterized. The record is from RefSeq and is a predicted model, not a curated record. The transcript has 2 exons. Lineage: Eukaryota; Metazoa; Chordata; Actinopteri; Siluriformes; Ictaluridae.
UCUCUCUCUCUCGCUCUCCCCCCUAUUACCAGGAGCAUGGCCUUCACAAUAUAAACCUGUCUACUCACCCAGUAUGUAUGAAUCAGCAAAAGAGGUGACGCUGUGACAGUAAAGGACUAACGGAGGGGGAAAAAACCCAGACAUUUUAAUGCUUUUUACGCAUUUGCUUUCAGAGCGUGUAUAUCUGCUUUCAGAGUGUAAAUAUUUUCUCCCGUGAUUCUUUCUCUUUGACUGAAAUGGUAUACAUCUUAUAAUCUCUUAAUUUCAUCAUCUCAUAUCGUAAAGUGUUGUUCUUGAAAGACUUGAGAUUACUCCAAUCAAAACUUGAUCUUCUUAUGAAAAAAAGGUCCCUCUCUCCUUGUGCCUCCAGAACCGCUCUGACCCGUCGAGGCACGGACUCCACAAGACCUCUGAAGGUGUGCUGUGGUUUCUGGCACCGAGACGUCAGCGGCAGAUCCUUUGAGUCCUGUAAGUUACAAGGCGGGGCUCCAUUGAUCUGUGAGUUACAAGGCGGGGCCUCCAUGGAUUGGACUUGUAUGUCCGGCACAUCCUACAGACAGUCGAUCGGAUUGAGAUCUGGGGAAUUCGGAGGUCAAGUCAACACCUUAAACUCUUUGUCAUGUUCCUCAAAGCACAUCAGUGAGCUUUGGGCGCCCAUGACCUUUUAAUUAUGAAUACUAGCUAGGAUUCAGAUUUUUUUUUCCACUUAAAAUAUGCUUUAGUGCUAGUUUGUUUAAGAAUACUGCUCCAUGGCCAGCAACUUGUAACGAUGGGGCCACGUUUUAUUUGAUUCCCCACAUUGCUAAAUCAACUCAAUAAAAGCGGGAUUAAAAUAAAAUAAAUGUAAUGAGUGUAAUAAAACACGGCUUCUCACGAGACAUCACCAAGCUACAUACCCACGGUUCUCCAAGAUGUAUAUCCAGGGCGUCCCUCACCGCGUUGAAGUCACAUGACAUAAGGCUACCACGUACAGUUAAUAAUUCUGGAUGAGAGGAAAGUGCGCGAAGAAAAGCCCUGAGAUCUUAAGAGGUGCGCAGCAAAAAGUUUGAGAACUUCCCGUUACAGACUUUUUAACCUUCCCAGUUUAUUUAAUAUUAUAAUAUUAUAAUUUGACACUUUUGUGCAUUGUGCGUGUGUAAGAGGGGGAAAAAACAGUCCUGCCAUUACAUUCUGUUCAUGAUGACAUCCAUGGAAAAAAAUAAAGGACGUGAUGUGAAACAAAACAUACAGAAAUAUUUAGUCAAAAGAAUCUAUUUACAUUUCUGUCACAUCAGGCAAGUUUCGGUGAAGCAGAGAACGUGG